UACAUAGGGGGCAAGCGUUAUCCGGAAUUAUUGGGCGUAAAGCGUGCGUAGGCGGUUUAUUAAGUCUGGUGUGAAAUCCCACAGCUUAACUGUGGAGGGUCAUUGGAAACUGAUAAACUUGAGUACGGUAGAGGUAAGUGGAAUUCCAAGUGGAGCGGUGGAAUGCGUAGAGAUUUGGAGGAACACCAGUGGCGAAGGCGGCUUACUGGGCCGUUACUGACGCUGAGGCACGAAAGCGUGGGGAG
This 245-nucleotide ribosomal RNA is filed under the name uncultured Bacillota bacterium. RNAcentral's name for it is "uncultured Firmicutes bacterium partial 16S ribosomal RNA". It matches the Rfam family "Bacterial small subunit ribosomal RNA", at positions 524 to 768 of the family's 1533-position model. The record is from RNAcentral. Lineage: Bacteria; Bacillati; Bacillota.